UUUACUUUCUCCACUCUCUUCGUCACUUCACCUCAUUUCUCUGAUUAUCUCUCUUUAUCACUAUCUAUCUCUCCAAACGGACCAAACCUAAGCAUCAGACUAUCAGAGGGCAUUAAAACAAAAAGGAACAAAGGAUAUGAGUUUUGUGCUUGCGAUUUUAUCAUUUUUGGCAAGAGUGGUCCGAUUGGGUUCCUCCUAAGAGAAGGUGGAGUUUAAGGAUAAGGAUAGUAAUCUCACAUCCACCUUGAAAAUAGAGAUCUUUCACUCCUUUUUGGUCUCUUCAAGCACCGAUCUUCUCCAUCCAGUAAGCUCUGAUCUUGGUGCCAACUCAGCUUUAUAUGACAAAUUAUCAAAUAAAAAACUGGAUGAGAAAGGGGAGAGAGUCUUAAAGGGCACUAUGAGGGAGAGAAAAGGUCCAUUAAGGAAAAGAGAUAUUUGAAGGCCACCACCAUGUCAGACCAUCAUCUACCUUCAGCUUAGGCUCCCGCCACUGUUAUAUUCCACCAGAAACACUCCCAGUAGAGGAGGUUGAGUGAUGAAGAAAAGAAGGGCACCAUCGAAGAUAUCUAAAACCCAUUUUACCUCAGAUUUGACAGCCAUUAAAGGUUGUUGCUGUUGCACUGAAGUGUGAAACAACCUAGGCACAAUUUGAUGACAUGGUUACCAGAUCCAGAAGAUAUCCCAAAUGCCCAAAAGUCACCUGGGAUAGGACACAAUCAGAAAGCUCAUGCCGUU
Quercus lobata is the source of this 735-nucleotide long non-coding RNA. RefSeq lists it as uncharacterized. The record is from RefSeq and is a predicted model, not a curated record. The transcript has 4 exons. NCBI's taxonomy places the organism in Eukaryota, Viridiplantae, Streptophyta, Magnoliopsida, Fagales, Fagaceae.